RNAcentral lists this transfer RNA (75 nucleotides) under bacterium. RNAcentral's name for it is "tRNA-Arg". It matches the Rfam family "tRNA". From Rfam's summary of the family: Transfer RNA (tRNA) molecules are approximately 80 nucleotides in length. Their secondary structure includes four short double-helical elements and three loops (D, anti-codon, and T loops). Further hydrogen bonds mediate the characteristic L-shaped molecular structure. tRNAs have two regions of fundamental functional importance: the anti-codon, which is responsible for specific mRNA codon recognition, and the 3' end, to which the tRNAs corresponding amino acid is attached (by aminoacyl-tRNA synthetases). tRNAs cope with the degeneracy of the genetic code in two manners: having more than one tRNA (with a specific anti-codon) for a particular amino acid; and 'wobble' base-pairing, i.e. permitting non-standard base-pairing at the 3rd anti-codon position. The record is from RNAcentral. RNAcentral also lists the same sequence under 1 other name.
GCGCCCGUAGCUCAGUGGAUAGAGCACUAGACUCCGGAUCUAGUAGCGCAGGUUCGAUCCCUGCCGGGCGCACCA